GCCUCAAUAGCUUAGUGGUAGAGCAUUUGAUAGAUAUUUGUUUGUUUGAAGUUGUCAUAUUUCUUAUGAAAAGGCCAGGGUUCGAAUCCCUGUUGAGGCU
Lentinula edodes (shiitake mushroom) is the source of this 100-nucleotide non-coding RNA. Lineage: Eukaryota; Fungi; Basidiomycota; Agaricomycetes; Agaricales; Omphalotaceae. The record is from Rfam.